CCUACGGGUGGCAGCAGUAGGGAAUCUUCCACAAUGGACGAAAGUCUGAUGGAGCAACGCCGCGUGAGUGAAGAAGGUUUUCGGAUCGUAAAACUCUGUUGUUGGAGAAGAACACGUUUGAGAGUAACUGUUCAGACGUUGACGGUAUCCAACCAGAAAGCCACGGCUAACUACGUGCCAGCAGCCGCGGUAAUACGUAGGUGGCAAGCGUUAUCCGGAUUUAUUGGGCGUAAAGCGAGCGCAGGCGGUUUCUUAAGUCU
RNAcentral lists this ribosomal RNA (260 nucleotides) under uncultured Bacillota bacterium. RNAcentral's name for it is "uncultured Firmicutes bacterium partial 16S ribosomal RNA". It matches the Rfam family "Bacterial small subunit ribosomal RNA", at positions 338 to 590 of the family's 1533-position model. Lineage: Bacteria; Bacillati; Bacillota. The record is from RNAcentral.